This 72-nucleotide transfer RNA is filed under the name Phaeocystis globosa. RNAcentral describes it as "tRNA-Ala". It matches the Rfam family "tRNA". Rfam says of the family: Transfer RNA (tRNA) molecules are approximately 80 nucleotides in length. Their secondary structure includes four short double-helical elements and three loops (D, anti-codon, and T loops). The record is from RNAcentral. Lineage: Eukaryota; Haptophyta; Phaeocystales; Phaeocystaceae.
UGGGGUGUUUCUCAAAGGUUGAGUAUUUGCUUUGCAAGUAAAAGGUUAUUGGUUCGAAUCCAAUCAUCUCCA